RNAcentral lists this long non-coding RNA (568 nucleotides) under Callithrix jacchus (white-tufted-ear marmoset). RNAcentral's name for it is "lncRNA (ENSCJAG00000082618.1)". The record is from RNAcentral. Lineage: Eukaryota; Metazoa; Chordata; Mammalia; Primates; Cebidae.
AGUGCCCUUGGCAGGCACCAGCAAUCCAACUCAUCAUAGACACUGAAACUCAUGUGUCAUCCGUGGACUAGAAAACAGUCUCUCACACCAGACCUGAAAUUCAGUGAUUAGAACUCUUGUUAGUGACAGAGCAGAACAGUCAUGAUUUUGCCUUUUAAAUCUUGAAUUUUCAAGUUUUAUCUGCAUGUGGAUUAGCUGGAAUAUAAUUUGUAAAUAACAUGUAUGAUUUAUACAGAUGCUGCAGCUGCAGGCAUGAGAGGAAGGCAGCUUGGACGUCUCUGUUCAACAUUGGUCAUCCAGUCUGAAAGUUUCCCAGACCCUGACUUAAAAUAGAAAGGAAGGAAAAACGAACCACAAACAAUUCCAGAGAUUAUGAGACAUGACAAUUGGACUUUCUGUCAGGGUAAAUAUCACAAGUAAGUGUAGUUUUGAUUCUAUUCAAGUUUUUGUUUGGAAGAGGCUGGAGGGGCUGAAUAGGAGUUGAGAUGACAACAGGGCCUUAGACAAUGUCAUAUAUGAAUCAGCCAUAAGUGGGCUCGGUGCUUCUGAGGUCUGUGUGUCAAAUAAG